GGAGGGUGCAAGCGUUAAUCGGAAUUACUGGGCGUAAAGGGCGCGUAGGUGGUUGAAUGUGUUGGAUGUGAAAAGCUUGGGCUUAACCUGAGUCUGUCAUCCAAAACUGUUUAACUAGAGUGCUGUAGAGGGGAGCGGAAUUUCCGGUGUAGCGGUGAAAUGCGUAGAUAUCGGAAGGAACACCAGUUGCGAAGGCGGCUUCCUGGACAGACACUGACACUGAGGCGCGAAAGCGUGGGGAGCAAACAGGGAUUAGAUACCCUGGUAGUCCACGCCGUAAACGAUGAGAACUAGCCGUUGUUACUAAUUAGGGUAUCAGUGGCACAGUUAACGCAUUAAGUUCUCCGCCUGGGGAGUACGGCCGCAAGGUUA
This 372-nucleotide ribosomal RNA is filed under the name uncultured organism. RNAcentral describes it as "partial 16S ribosomal RNA". It matches the Rfam family "Bacterial small subunit ribosomal RNA", at positions 527 to 896 of the family's 1533-position model. The record is from RNAcentral.